This 2902-nucleotide ribosomal RNA is filed under the name Escherichia coli BCE008_MS-13. RNAcentral's name for it is "bacterial LSU rRNA". It matches the Rfam family "Bacterial large subunit ribosomal RNA". The record is from RNAcentral. Lineage: Bacteria; Pseudomonadati; Pseudomonadota; Gammaproteobacteria; Enterobacterales; Enterobacteriaceae.
UUAAGCGACUAAGCGUACACGGUGGAUGCCCUGGCAGUCAGAGGCGAUGAAGGACGUGCUAAUCUGCGAUAAGCGUCGGUAAGGUGAUAUGAACCGUUAUAACCGGCGAUUUCCGAAUGGGGAAACCCAGUGUGAUUCGUCACACUAUCAUUAACUGAAUCCAUAGGUUAAUGAGGCGAACCGGGGGAACUGAAACAUCUAAGUACCCCGAGGAAAAGAAAUCAACCGAGAUUCCCCCAGUAGCGGCGAGCGAACGGGGAGGAGCCCAGAGUCUGAAUCAGUGUGUGUGUUAGUGGAAGCGUCUGGAAAGGCGCGCGAUACAGGGUGACAGCCCCGUACACAAAAAUGCACAUGCUGUGAGCUCGAUGAGUAGGGCGGGACACGUGGUAUCCUGUCUGAAUAUGGGGGGACCAUCCUCCAAGGCUAAAUACUCCUGACUGACCGAUAGUGAACCAGUACCGUGAGGGAAAGGCGAAAAGAACCCCGGCGAGGGGAGUGAAAAAGAACCUGAAACCGUGUACGUACAAGCAGUGGGAGCCUCUUUUAUGGGGUGACUGCGUACCUUUUGUAUAAUGGGUCAGCGACUUAUAUUCUGUAGCAAGGUUAACCGAAUAGGGGAGCCGAAGGGAAACCGAGUCUUAACUGGGCGUUAAGCUGCAGGGUAUAGACCCGAAACCCGGUGAUCUAGCCAUGGGCAGGUUGAAGGUUGGGUAACACUAACUGGAGGACCGAACCGACUAAUGUUGAAAAAUUAGCGGAUGACUUGUGGCUGGGGGUGAAAGGCCAAUCAAACCGGGAGAUAGCUGGUUCUCCCCGAAAGCUAUUUAGGUAGCGCCUCGUGAAUUCAUCUCCGGGGGUAGAGCACUGUUUCGGCAAGGGGGUCAUCCCGACUUACCAACCCGAUGCAAACUGCGAAUACCGGAGAAUGUUAUCACGGGAGACACACGGCGGGUGCUAACGUCCGUCGUGAAGAGGGAAACAACCCAGACCGCCAGCUAAGGUCCCAAAGUCAUGGUUAAGUGGGAAACGAUGUGGGAAGGCCCAGACAGCCAGGAUGUUGGCUUAGAAGCAGCCAUCAUUUAAAGAAAGCGUAAUAGCUCACUGGUCGAGUCGGCCUGCGCGGAAGAUGUAACGGGGCUAAACCAUGCACCGAAGCUGCGGCAGCGACGCUUAUGCGUUGUUGGGUAGGGGAGCGUUCUGUAAGCCUGUGAAGGUGUGCUGUGAGGCAUGCUGGAGGUAUCAGAAGUGCGAAUGCUGACAUAAGUAACGAUAAAGCGGGUGAAAAGCCCGCUCGCCGGAAGACCAAGGGUUCCUGUCCAACGUUAAUCGGGGCAGGGUGAGUCGACCCCUAAGGCGAGGCCGAAAGGCGUAGUCGAUGGGAAACAGGUUAAUAUUCCUGUACUUGGUGUUACUGCGAAGGGGGGACGGAGAAGGCUAUGUUGGCCGGGCGACGGUUGUCCCGGUUUAAGCGUGUAGGCUGGUUUUCCAGGCAAAUCCGGAAAAUCAAGGCUGAGGCGUGAUGACGAGGCACUACGGUGCUGAAGCAACAAAUGCCCUGCUUCCAGGAAAAGCCUCUAAGCAUCAGGUAACAUCAAAUCGUACCCCAAACCGACACAGGUGGUCAGGUAGAGAAUACCAAGGCGCUUGAGAGAACUCGGGUGAAGGAACUAGGCAAAAUGGUGCCGUAACUUCGGGAGAAGGCACGCUGAUAUGUAGGUGAAGCGACUUGCUCGUGGAGCUGAAAUCAGUCGAAGAUACCAGCUGGCUGCAACUGUUUAUUAAAAACACAGCACUGUGCAAACACGAAAGUGGACGUAUACGGUGUGACGCCUGCCCGGUGCCGGAAGGUUAAUUGAUGGGGUCAGCGCAAGCGAAGCUCUUGAUCGAAGCCCCGGUAAACGGCGGCCGUAACUAUAACGGUCCUAAGGUAGCGAAAUUCCUUGUCGGGUAAGUUCCGACCUGCACGAAUGGCGUAAUGAUGGCCAGGCUGUCUCCACCCGAGACUCAGUGAAAUUGAACUCGCUGUGAAGAUGCAGUGUACCCGCGGCAAGACGGAAAGACCCCGUGAACCUUUACUAUAGCUUGACACUGAACAUUGAGCCUUGAUGUGUAGGAUAGGUGGGAGGCUUUGAAGUGUGGACGCCAGUCUGCAUGGAGCCGACCUUGAAAUACCACCCUUUAAUGUUUGAUGUUCUAACGUUGACCCCUAAUCGGGGUUGCGGACAGUGUCUGGUGGGUAGUUUGACUGGGGCGGUCUCCUCCUAAAGAGUAACGGAGGAGCACGAAGGUUGGCUAAUCCUGGUCGGACAUCAGGAGGUUAGUGCAAUGGCAUAAGCCAGCUUGACUGCGAGCGUGACGGCGCGAGCAGGUGCGAAAGCAGGUCAUAGUGAUCCGGUGGUUCUGAAUGGAAGGGCCAUCGCUCAACGGAUAAAAGGUACUCCGGGGAUAACAGGCUGAUACCGCCCAAGAGUUCAUAUCGACGGCGGUGUUUGGCACCUCGAUGUCGGCUCAUCACAUCCUGGGGCUGAAGUAGGUCCCAAGGGUAUGGCUGUUCGCCAUUUAAAGUGGUACGCGAGCUGGGUUUAGAACGUCGUGAGACAGUUCGGUCCCUAUCUGCCGUGGGCGCUGGAGAACUGAGGGGGGCUGCUCCUAGUACGAGAGGACCGGAGUGGACGCAUCACUGGUGUUCGGGUUGUCAUGCCAAUGGCACUGCCCGGUAGCUAAAUGCGGAAGAGAUAAGUGCUGAAAGCAUCUAAGCACGAAACUUGCCCCGAGAUGAGUUCUCCCUGACCCUUUAAGGGUCCUGAAGGAACGUUGAAGACGACGACGUUGAUAGGCCGGGUGUGUAAGCGCAGCGAUGCGUUGAGCUAACCGGUACUAAUGAACCGUGAGGCUUAACCUU